GAUGAACGCUGGCGGCGUGCCUAAUACAUGCAAGUCGAGCGAACAGAUGAGGAGCUUGCUCCUCUGACGUUAGCGGCGGACGGGUGAGUAACACGUGGAUAACCUACCUAUAAGACUGGGAUAACUUCGGGAAACCGGAGCUAAUACCGGAUAAUAUAUUGAACCGCAUGGUUCAAUAGUGAAAGACGGUUUUGCUGUCACUUAUAGAUGGAUCCGCGCCGCAUUAGCUAGUUGGUAGGGUAACGGCUUACCAAGGCAACGAUGCGUAGCCGACCUGAGAGGGUGAUCGGCCACACUGGAACUGAGACACGGUCUAGACUCCUACGGGAGGCAGCAGUAGGGAAUCUUCCGCAAUGGGCGAAAGCCUGACGGAGCAACGCCGCGUGAGUGAUGAAGGUCUUCGGAUCGUAAAACUCUGUUAUUAGGGAAGAACAAAUGUGUAAGUAACUAUGCACGUCUUGACGGUACCUAAUCAGAAAGCCACGGCUAACUACGUG
RNAcentral lists this ribosomal RNA (497 nucleotides) under uncultured bacterium. RNAcentral's name for it is "partial 16S ribosomal RNA". It matches the Rfam family "Bacterial small subunit ribosomal RNA", at positions 28 to 507 of the family's 1533-position model. The record is from RNAcentral.